UGGGGAAUUUUUCGCAAUGGGGGCAACCCUGACGAAGCAACGCCGCGUGGAGGAUGAAGGCCCUAGCGGUCGUAAACUCCUGUCUAGCGGGACGAAGGUACAAUUUGCAAAUAGCGUGUUGUAUUGACUGUACCGCUGGAGGAAGCUCCGGCUAACUCCGUGCCAGCAGCCGCGGUAAUACGGGGGGAGCAAGCGUUACUCGGAAUUAUUGGGCGUAAAGGGCGCGUAGGCGAUUGUACAAGUCUUGUGUGAAAGCCCAUGGCUUAACUGUGGAAGUGCAUGAGAGACUGUAUGAUUUGAGUACAGGAGAGGAAAGCAGAAUUCCCGGUGUAGCGGUGAAAUGCGUAGAUAUCGGGAGGAAUACCAGUGGCGAAGGCGGCUUUCUGGACUGUAACUGACGCUGAGGCGCGAAGGCUAGGGGAGCAAACGG
Molecule: ribosomal RNA, 430 nt
Filed under: uncultured bacterium
Lineage: Bacteria
Description: bacterial SSU rRNA
Rfam family: Bacterial small subunit ribosomal RNA
Source: RNAcentral